AUGUGGCUCAGGCCCAGCCUUCAGCAAGAGUCCUAUUUGGAAAGCAAAACUGGCCCAGCAAGGGAAAAAUCACGCAGGCAGAGGCUGCAGCUGCUGCCACCUCCUGGGAGAAGACAGACUUCAGCUUCAUACCUGAGGCUGGUCCGAGUUCACCUAUGGCUUGGGCAAAGCCUCUGUUGGGAUAGGGCUGAAAUCUUUUUCUCACAGAAAAUAAAUGGGAUAUUCCCUUACUCAGCAAACAAAACAUGGGCUUCUUCUUUAAUUUGUUCUUUUUUGCCAAUGUUAUGCUGAAAGAAAAUAAGGGGGCUGGGGAUAUAGCUCAGAGGUAAUAUAUCUGGUUAGCAUGUAUUAAGCCCUGUAUUCAAUCACCAGCACUACCAAAAACAAAACAAAACAAACUCAAACAACAAUAACAAGGUUAUACUGAGUUAAUAUGGGAACAAUGAGAGUACAGAAAUAAUAGUAAAGCAGAACUGUAAGAUUUAGUCAUAUGUUAGAAAUUCCUUCUCUUGGCUUUCUGAACCCUAUGUCCUGAGGUGAUAUUAGGAAUAUAAACAAUUGGGGCUGGGGAUUUAGCUCAGUGGCAUAAGCACCUGCCUUGCAAGCAGGUGGUCGUGAGUUCGAUCCCCGGUACCGAUUAAAAAAAAAAUUAAAAAAAAAAAAGGAAUAUAAACAAUGGAGAAUUUUACAAUAGCCACAGUAUAUAUGACCUGCUGAAUAUUUACCUCCAAGAGUCUCAGUUUACUUUUGGGGCUAUUGUGAGAGUUGACAUAAUACAUGUAAAUUCUUGGUAUGCAAGAGAAGUUCGAUAGGAAUUAUAAAGAGCAAUUUCACUUAGCUAAUCUCCUUAGUGAUUUUCUUCAUUUAUUGACCAAAAAAAUGGAUCAACAAUCAUGCCCAUAAUUCUGGGCUGCCUUUCUGAUUUAUAGAUGAUCCUUACGCCACCUCUCUCACCUCUCUCUCUAUAUGUAUGUGUGUGUACAUGUGUGUAUUUUUUAAACACAAUUACGAAUAAGUGAAAAGAAAUUUAGGAGGAAAUAAGACACCCAAUUAAGGAAACAUUUCUUGAGUACCUACUCUAGGUUAGUCAUAAAGGAUUUAAAGAAUGAUAAUAUAGAUGAAGACCUCACACAAAAGUGACUCAAAAUUAGAAAUUUGGGUUCUAAAUCCAGAUCUUCAAAGAAAUCAGUUAUAUAUAUGACAGCUAAUGUUUUUGAUUAUUAGUUUUCUCAUUGGUUGAAUACCACUAUAUAGAGGGACAUUUUUUCAUUUACAGCAGAGGUUGCCAGGAAGACAGCACAUUGGAUGCUGUGUUGUCCUUCAGUUAUCCCGAUCAUGGAAAGCUGUUAAAGAGAUCAUGAAGUUUGAGUGGCCCUGGUAAGAGAAGGCAAGACCCUCACAAACUCUUCUGUCUGAAGCUUUUAUUUCCCUGACCAAUUAAUUAUGGGUGUUAUCUUAACCAAUCAUGUACAAAGCUAUGAAUGUAUUUUAGCCUACUUUGAGUGUUUUUUUUUUAUUCUUUGAUAUGGUUUGAAUAUUUGCAUUCAGUCCAAGACAUGCUGGUACUUGGUCCCAAUGCAACAGUAUAAAGAGGUAGGCCUUUUGGGGGACUCUUGAGGGUUCCCAACACUAGUAUUUUUAUAGAAGCUCUGAAGGAAACUAGCUAGGUUCUGUUUACCUUUCCAUUUCUUUAGCCAUGUGAGGACCUCUCUCCUUUGAAGCACCCUUCUCCUCUGGAAGAUGUAGCAACAAGGCACCAUUUCUGGGAGCAGAAAGUCUGGGCCCUCAGUGACACUGAACCUGCUUGCACGUAGAUGUUGACUGUUAGCCUCUGGAACUACAAGAAAUAAAUUUCUGCUGUUUAUAAAUUAUCUUGUCUCAGCUAUUUUAUUAUAUCAGUAUGUAAACUAAUAAGCAGAAAAACCUAAAAUUCCUGUCCUA
Molecule: long non-coding RNA, 1941 nt
Organism: Cavia porcellus (domestic guinea pig)
Lineage: Eukaryota; Metazoa; Chordata; Mammalia; Rodentia; Caviidae
Source: Ensembl